GACGAACGCUGGCGGCGUGCUUAACACAUGCAAGUCGAACGGAAAGGCCCUGCUUUUGUGGGGUGCUCGAGUGGCGAACGGGUGAGUAACACGUGAGUAACCUGCCCUUGACUUUGUGAUAACUUCAGGAAACUGGGGCUAAUACCGGAUAGGAGCUCCUGCUGCAUGGUGGGGGUUGGAAAGUUUCGGCGGUUGGGGAUGGACUCGCGGCUUAUCAGCUUGUUGGUGGGGUAGUGGCUUACCAAGGCUUUGACGGGUAGCCGGCCUGAGAGGGUGACCGGCCACAUUGGGACUGAGAUACGGCCCAGACUCCUACGGGAGGCAGCAGUGGGGAAUAUUGCACAAUGGGCGGAAGCCUGAUGCAGCAACGCCGCGUGCGGGAUGACGGCCUUCGUGUUGUAAACCGCUUUCGCCUGUGACGAAGCGUGAGUGACGGUAAUGGGUAAAGAAGCACCGGCUAACUACGUG
RNAcentral lists this ribosomal RNA (468 nucleotides) under uncultured bacterium. RNAcentral describes it as "partial 16S ribosomal RNA". It matches the Rfam family "Bacterial small subunit ribosomal RNA", at positions 28 to 507 of the family's 1533-position model. The record is from RNAcentral.